This 113-nucleotide ribosomal RNA is filed under the name uncultured Paracoccaceae bacterium. RNAcentral's name for it is "uncultured Rhodobacteraceae bacterium partial 16S ribosomal RNA". It matches the Rfam family "Bacterial small subunit ribosomal RNA", at positions 335 to 446 of the family's 1533-position model. Lineage: Bacteria; Pseudomonadati; Pseudomonadota; Alphaproteobacteria; Rhodobacterales; Paracoccaceae. The record is from RNAcentral.
ACUCCUACGGGAGGCAGCAGUGGGGAAUCUUGGACAAUGAGCGAAAGCUUGAUCCAGCGAUAUCGCGUGAGUGAUGAAGGCUCUUUUGGUUGUAAAACUCUUUCGUCGAGGAU